RNA transcript from Dromaius novaehollandiae (emu), 9440 nucleotides. It is a transcript of the gene named arylsulfatase B-like, with no coding region annotated. The record is from RefSeq and is a predicted model, not a curated record. The transcript is spliced from 10 exons. Lineage: Eukaryota; Metazoa; Chordata; Aves; Casuariiformes; Dromaiidae.
GGGACGGCCGUGGGCGCCCGGCCCGCCCGGCGGCCCAGUUCCUGGUUGCGCGGGCGGGCGGCGAUGGCGCGGCGGGCGGGCGGCUGGCGGCGGCUCUGCCUGCUCUGGUGCCUUCUGCGGCUGGCGGCGGCGCGGCGGCCGCCCCCGCACCUGGUGGUGGUGCUGGCCGACGACCUGGGCUGGGGCGACGUGGGCUGGCACGGCUCGGCCAUCCGCACGCCGCGGCUGGACGCGCUGGGGGCGGGCGGCGUGCGGCUGGAGCGGUACUACACGCAGCCGCUGUGCACGCCGUCCCGCAGCCAGCUCCUCAGCGGCCGCUACCAGAUCCACACAGGUUUACAACACCAAAUAAUUUGGCCCUGCCAACCCAGCUGUCUCCCCCUGGAUGAGAAACUCCUCCCAGAGCUACUUAAAGAGGCAGGAUAUGUUACUCACAUGGUGGGGAAGUGGCAUUUAGGGAUGUACAGAAAAGAAUGCCUUCCAACCCGGAGAGGAUUUGAUACUUACUUUGGCUAUCUUCUGGGAAGUGAGGAUUACUACUCUCAUGACCGUUGUGUGCUCAUCAAAGCAAAGAAUGUAACACGCUGCGCUCUGGACUUUCGAGAUGGAGAAGAAGUUGUAACUAGAUUUAAAAACAUGUACUCCACUAAUUUAUUCACAGAAAGAGCUAUAGAUCUGAUAGCCAAUCAUAAAACUGAGAAGCCCCUCUUUCUCUACCUCGCUUUUCAGUCUGUCCAUGAACCUCUUGAGGUCCCUGAGGAAUACAUGAAACCAUAUUCCUCCAUUAAGGAUGAAAAGAGGCGCCAUUAUUCAGGAAUGGUGACGCUUAUGGAUGAAGCUGUAGGAAACCUUACUGAUGCUCUGAAAAAAUACAAUCUUUGGGAUAACACAGUUCUUGUUUUCUCUACUGAUAAUGGAGGACAGACUUUGUCAGGUGGAAAUAACUGGCCGCUGAGAGGAAGAAAGUGGACCCUUUGGGAAGGAGGAGUGAGAGGAGUAGGGUUUGUUGCAAGUCCUUUACUGAAACAAAAAGGUGUAGAAAGUCACGAACUUAUCCAUAUCUCUGACUGGCUGCCAACGCUGGUGCACCUUGCUGGAGGACACACCAAUGGCACUAAGCCUCUGGAUGGCUUUGAUGUUUGGAAAACUAUCAGUGAAGGAAGACCAUCUCCCAGAGUCGAACUGCUUCAUAACAUAGACCCCAUGUUUGUGGAUGAUUUCCCAUGUCUUGGCAUUGACAACAGGACAUCUUUAUUGCAGAACAGUUCUUUUAUGUGGGAUGAUACACUUUUCAAUAUCUCCAUGCAUGCAGCAAUUCGACAUGGAAAAUGGAAGUUACUAACUGGAUAUCCAGGAUGCAGUCACUGGUUCCCUCCACCUUUGUUCAGUGAGUCAGUGAUUCAGUCGUCUGAUCCACCAACAAAGAGACUUUGGCUUUUUGAUGUUGUUCAUGAUCCUGAGGAGAAAAAUGAGUUGUCUGAAAGAUAUCCUAAUGUGGUGAAAAAACUGCUCUCACGACUUCAGUAUUAUUAUAAACGUUCAGUGCCUGUGUUCUACCCUGAUGAGGAUCCCCGCUGUGAUCCAGCAGCAGCUGGGGCCUGGGGUCCUUGGGCAUAGUGCACAGCAUCGCACCCUGCAAAACUCACCUGUAGUGGAGUUGGAUUUGUAGUCUCAGGGUCCUAGUCAUAUAUUUCUUACCUUGUUUUUUACAGUAUUGCUAAUCGUGAGUUCAUUCCGUGAGUAAUUCAGUCUUUCUUACCCUUAAAAUGUGGUGGGAAUCUUAUUUCAGUCCUCCCCACUCUCUCCUUCUCAACAAUUAUACAUGAAAUGUUGAUAAAAUUAGAAAUCUGUUGUUUGAAUAUUCUUUGUCAAUAAUGUGCCUUUAAAGUAGGAUGUUGCUUCCCUCCCUGAAAGAGAUUACUUCUGUUAAAAAGCUGCUAUGAGUCAUGGAAGCAGAAUGAUUCAUAAUUCUGUUGUGGAAGAAACUGAUGUUUCAUUUCAUGCUUGCCCAGAAGACAAAUUCUAUCAGAAGCUGUUACAUAUUUGUAAAGAAUUGAAGAAAUACAGCAGUUGACAUAAUUUUUACCUUUCACGUGCACUUCUGUCCAGAAAAGAGAACAGUCAGAAAUCUCCAAGAAUAAAAAAACCCUUUCAGUAUACAGCAAAAUACCUUAUUCCAGUUCAGUGCUAACAUAUGAAAUUGGGGUAGAGAGAGGUGGUUGACUUGAGGACAGGGCUGCCACGCAGAGGGACAUUAACACACCGGAGAAGUGGAUGAACAAAAACUUUAUGAAGUUCAACAAGGGCAGAGUCCUGCACUUGGGAUGGCAAAACACCACACAACAGUAUAGGCUGGGCUCUGACUGGAUAGACAGCGUUGCCUUGGGAAAGAACCUGGAGUGCUGUUGGACAACAAAUUGAACAAGAAUCACCAUAUGCCCUAGUGGUGAAGAAGGCCAAGGACAUAUUGGUCCAUAUUAGCAAGAGUGUAGCCAGCACAUGGAGGGAAGUGAUUAUUCCCCUCUAUUCAGCAUUGGAGCGCUGCAUCACAUUUUGGGCUUCCUUAUACAGGAAAGAGAUUGAUAUGCUGGAGUGAGUCUAGCAGAGGGCCACAGAAAUGAGCACAUGACAAAUGAGGGGUGGCUAAAGAACUGGGUUAGUUUAGCCUGGGAAAGAAAAGAUAAAGGGGAGAUUGUUAUCUUCAGUGAGCCAGAGGAAGGGCAUAGAGAAGAUGAAGCCAGACUCAGAGGUGUGCAAAGAGAAGACAAGAGGCAACAGACACAAGCUUCAACAGACACAAGUUGCAACACAGGGAGUUCCAAUUAGAUAUAAGGAAAAAAAAUCUCACCAUGAGAAUGGUCAAAUACUGGAACAGGUUGCCCAGUGAGGUUGUUGUAUCCCUAUCCUUGGAGAUGUUCAGAACUUGGUCGGAAAAGAUUCUGAGUAACCUAAUCUUAACUCUGAAGUUGGAUCUAAUUUGCAGAUUGGCCCUGCUUUAGUGGUGGUUGGUGGAACAACCAGAUGGACCUCCAAAGGGCCCUUUCAGCCUGCAUUAUUCAUUGAUUCUAUGAUGAACAAAGCCUUACUCUCACUUAUUGUCCACCUUUCUGGUGAGUACCCUUUCUGCUCAGAUUGGUUUUUUAUUAUCACAGUAGCAACUGUUUUCAUCUUGAAGUGGGCUGUGAGCCAAGGGGAAACUAGGCCAAACAACUUUACUUGGUUACUCACCAAAUUGAUGUGAGAAGAUCAACCCACCAGCUCUCUUAACUUUGUAAACCUCUGGAGUCUGGCCAGAAUUCUGUUGGUGCUUUUCAGCAUCCUUUGCCAAAUUCUCAGGCUGCAGAACUCUAGCUGUCAUCCUCUCCAGAAAGUAGGAACCUAACUGCAUGUUUUCAGAAUCCAGGACCAAGUCCUGUGAUUUGCACUAAAGUUUUGCACACCUUUUCCCAGUUUUCCUUCAGGAGACAUCUGCUAAUUGUUAGCAAACAGACUUAUGAAGAGACUGUCACACUUGACAAAAUUUUCUUUCUUUCUUUUUUUUUUUAAACUACAAAGAUAAAGCAUAGGAAAGAUGGAACUUCAGGAAAUCAAAAACAUGUAUUAAAAUAAACAAAAAUUCCUGCCUUCUGCUACAGCUGAUUCUCCAUUACACUGUUUUAAACCUAACUUGCCUUUCCCACCUCCGAUGUGUACCUACAUAUACAGGAAGGGGAGCCAAAGUUCUUCAAAAGCUUGUUCAGCUGUUUGUCUUUUUCCCAAGGAGUGUCAUGUUUUCCCUUCUCCUUUGUCACUUCUGCCUCUUUAUCUCAGUAUUUUCCCAUUCUGUUUCCUUUGCUGUCUUCAGCCUUGAAGGUGAAUAGGAAAGAAGGAUGGAUUGGGAGAGAAUAAUUCUCCUAUAUUGGGCAAACAUAUAUUCUCCAUGGUUUAGUCUGAUAUGUCUUGGAAGCCUGCAUCAGACCAAGGUUCAAUCCAUCUCCAUCAGUGAUUGAAAGCACACAGCUGCACAGGAGUAAAGGGCAAGCAUAUGUGAUAAGUUCUCCAGAUUGUCUUUAAUAUUCUAACUUUGGCUCAGAGAAGAACUGAACCUCAGACAUUUAACUUCUAUGUAUUUAAUAGCCCUCAGUGUAAACUCUUAGUAUUUACACAAUCUUCUUCCACAGUUAGGAGUUCCACAGCCUAAAUACACAAUGUGUGAAGAGUCACCUCUGUUUAUGAUAUGCUUCUGGGCAAUUUGAGUUUUCACUGGUAAAAUACAUAUGGUGUGACAGAAGUCCCUACUAUACCAUGUUUAGCAACUUUCAUAUUAAACAGUAUCUUUAUAAUAAAAAACAAUUUAUAUGUUCUGUAGAGGUAGUCUCCAAAUAGGUACUGUACAUGACCAUCUCUCCUUCCAUUUCACAGAACUGUUUUCAACUUUUCUUUCUAUUUUGGCUUCACAGCACAACAGCAUUUCACUCUCAAGCUUCAAGAGAUUCUUUAAGAUAACUUUCUGAGACAAACUGUUAUCUGCUGACCACAGGAAGGGAUCAAAAAUGUACUGUUUUUAUCAUGCUGUUAUCCAAUUUCGUGGAAUAGAAGAAAAAGGUAUCAGCUAACUUGCAAAAACCCAGAUAAUUCAUGUUCUUCCAUCAAUGUCAACUCCUUGGCUAAAGUUAGAAAGGAUCAAAGAACUUCUAAUUUUAAUUUCAAAAACAUCUCCUGUUUAAGCCGUCUGAACAACUUCUGAGGUUACACGUUGUUCUUCAUAAUAAUGUAAAAUUGGCAAGCUUGUUUGCAAAUUUUAAGUAAAAAGUUGCUGACUUUUCCAAAUUUACUCAGUGUAUGCUACUUGCAAACAUUUCUAAAACUUAGGCCUGCUGUCUUAAAUUUAGUGUUGUAUGCUGCACUGCACAGUGAAACUGUCUCACUUCAAAGGCUUUUGACUUUUUAAAGUAUCGUAUAUAAACUUCUCUGUAUAUCUUAUAUUACUCUUUCUGUUCAAAUUCAGAACACAUGGCUAUGUCCCAAGGAAGCUAAUAUUGUAAUAUGCUGUAGUUUGCCCAGUUACAAGGAAAUUGCUACAUUGUUGUAACUGUUAGUACUUGAUUGUGAUUAGGGAUUGACAGAAUAAAAGUCUCCUGGUGUGAGUCAGUGCUGGAGUCAAUAAACAGACUACAUGAAAAAUUCAGCAUGUAAAUUUAAAAGACAUUUUCCUGAUUAACUUACAAAUCUUUUCUGCUAGGAAGAUCCAUUUCUUCCCAGUCAUAUAGACUGUAUUUGAUCCUUCACAUUAAAAGAUCAUCCCGCAAUUAACGUCAGUGUGUACUGUGCGUAUCUUUCAUUCUUUGGAACAGACAUGCUGUUAUGUGCCCCUGGGCUGCUUAGGACAUCUGAAUCUCUUUAAUCUGACACAUGUCAGAUUAGUACUGUAGUGAGGCCAUAAACAUGAACAUGACUUAGUCCCACAGAAUGUGAAGGAUGAGUUAAUGGUAUCGUAGGCCUUUUCUUCAAGAGAGUUGCUCUAAACUGUGACAUUAUUAUUUUCAAUUAAUACUUGAUGGGCGUUGCAGGUACUUAACUGCUUGAACUGUCUCAGUGUUAUUUUUUUAAUUAGUUUAGCAGCUAAAACUGUCUCAGUGUUAUUUUUUAAAUUAAUUUGUAACUCUAUCAUAAGGUAUUGCAUUCUAUCUGCUCUCUGAAAAAACAAAAUACAUUCUCUUAAGGCCUUCUCUAAGAAGUCCUUAAGGCCUUCUCUAAGAAAGCCUAUACAAUAUGUCCCCCAAAAGGUUAAUUUUUUGAAUCUCAAAUAUAAUGGAAUAGUUUGCGGCAAGGUCCAAGCAUCUGGAAAAAUAAUUGCUUCUCAGGAAGCUUAAAUUUAAACACAGAACAGCCCUUUUGGGGGUUUUUGGUUUAUUUUCAGAGUUCUGGUUUAACCAAAAUAUAUAGUGUUGGCCAAAGCCCUAAGUUGUAUGCCUUCCAAUUUAGUUUCACAGUCAAUAAGCUUCAAAACAUCAAGUAAAUGCUUCUGAGAGAAAAACAGAGAUCAAAGUGAAAGUGUGAUUCAAGAGAGUGUAUCUGUUUAUCUUUAACUGAGAAUUUCACACUUCUACACUGUCUGGAAAUGAAGAGCUAACAGAUCUAGCCUGUUACGUAAUUUCAUUUUGGAGCUAGAUGGGAGUAUUGCAGAUACUCUUCAGAGUUCCCAUAUUCAGACGUAAGGAGGGUUCCAAGAGAGUUGUGAUUAGAGCAGCAAAAGCAGGUAAAGUGAAACUAGAGCCACAUGAGACAAGAAAGGGCAAGAUUUCAGAAAUACCAUAAGGCACUGUGUUACAGAUGGCUGGCAAAUAAGGAAGGUACUAGUUGAGACUUCUAGUUAGAAGACAUCAUUAGAUCCUCUGUAAAAACAAUUUUAGUGGGGGUGUGGAAACUGUGAUUGAGAUACAUCUCAUCUACAGUAGAAAACAAAGAAGGCAAUUCAACAAAAAGCAAUUGGCAUUAUCGUUUUUUCUCCUUUUUCAUCCUGUCAAUGCCAUAGUCAGCGUGUACAAUCCUGAACAUCCAGACAGGUAUAAAAUAUGCCAGGAACUUCCCAUCUUUGAAUGUAGAGCUGGAUAUUAGAUCAAAAGCAGCACAAACUGCCAGUGGGAGUAACCAGUCCCUCUGACUGGAUUUGUGUUGCCCUGCAUCUCACUGGUACUCCAGCUGGAGCUCAGAAUGACUUAGUGUGAUCAUACUUCAGUCCCUCCCUAGGCAGAAUUGCCCAUGCCCAUUUUAAUUCUGAGAAAUGUUUAAGACACUUAUUCUAGAGCUGGGGUUAUGGGGCAAGAAGCCCUUUUUGCUGAAUUUCUUUUUGGGUAAAUCUUCCCAAUUAUCAUACAGUUUCUUCAGGUCUUAAAUUACUUUGAAAACCUUCAGUGUGUUAGAGUUAUAAUCUUUGAGGUUUUCCCAUCUCUAAUGGUGCUAGCACUGAUGAAUGAAUAAAUGUAAAAUAAUUUUGAGAUAUAUAAUUCCUAGAAAUAGCACUAGAGUAUUUCCUUUAAUAAUUUGUAAUACAGCCAGUAGAACUGAAGGACAUUUUGGACAGAGUCCUAGAAAAUGCCUCAUUUGUGAUAAAUAAGCUAGCAGUUGAAGAACAUAUCAGAGUUUCUUUUUUCAACUGGAUAUAUGAGUUGAUAGAGUAGUUUCAGAUACUAUUUGCAUAGUGUCCUGCUCAAGAUCAUUAAAUCAUUUAGCUCUGCAUGUUUUCUCUUAGCACUCCUUAGGAUGUGAAAAGAUAUUUUAAGACAUUAGAAGAGAAAUACAUUAGCAUAGCUGGGUACUAAUAUGGGAAUAUCAAUAGAUGAAUGUCAUAUUUAAAACUCAACCUCUUAAAUUAUUUAUUCCUAAUGGAUGUCCUAGUUUGUUCAGUAAAAAGGACACUGCUAAUUUAAUUUCCCAUGAAUUACCACCUCAGAGUGCACUUAAAAAUACUCUCUGUCCUAAAGCCCCAAAUUAUGGGAAAGGAGAUAAAACAGCUGUUACUGCUGUUGUGUCAGGCAAUAUAUAUUUGGCUAGACAGCUUUUCUUCAUACUACUUGCAAUAAUAUGUGUUUCAAAAAUACAGAUUAGACACAGCGAUAAAUCUGGAUCCCUUCAGUGAGCCUGAGUGUCUGCAUUCAGUUACAGCCUUCUUAAAAUACAGUGGUGGAUUCCUGCUGGUACCGUACUGGCUGAGUCCCAAAUGAGUUAACAAUUACUCUCCCAAAAACACUGAGCUUGGUUCAGAGCUGGAAUGCGAGGCAUAGAUACUAUUCCUUAGAAUAUUCACUAGGGUCAAUAGAUACCUUGUAAAACCCUCUGAAGGCCUUUUCUUCUCACGAUUCCUUCUUUUUAAAGAUCUCUGAUUGUGAGACACUCCAUUUUAAAUGACAUUAUUUCUUCAAUUUGUUUUUAUUUUAAUGAACGCAUGCUGCUGCCUUGCAUACUCUGCAGGUCUGGAAGAGCAUUCUCUUCAUCACUUUGUCAGGGAAGUUCUAAACAGCUCUGUCAUUUGUCCCGUUUAUACUUGUUUCUAGUAUCAAAAUAAUCUCCAAACAAAUUAAACUAACUUUCCUGAAGUGAGGGUGUUCAGAAUUACCUGAAGUGAGGGUGUUCAGAAUUACCUUAGACUUCCUUCUCCUGUAUAGACUAAAAUCUCAGAUUAUUUUUCUGGAAGUUUUGGAGGUAAGCCAUCAAUUCGAACUCAGCCCAGUUAAAGACAGCUUGCAGUUUUUUCUUUCAAACCUUCUUUCCAUCUCCUUUCUCACUGUAGACAACAUCUCACUGUUUCUGCCACUCAGAACUGAUCUCCCCUUGGGUCCUCACAUGCAGACAGUUUAUAUAUUGUACAUUCAUUCUAUGUAGUAUCUUUAAAAUAGCAUGUUCUCUAGCUAUCCAUGUCUAAAACUCUCAUAGAAACAUUAUUUUAUGUCUUAAUUAUAAAUUCAUCUUCUAUGAACUUGACACAUUCAAUAUGAUACUGCUGUUAUCCACUCAGGAUGCUCUUGCACUCUUUCUUUAUUAACUUCAACAUAAGAUGCUAAUUUUGAAUGUCCUUUUUAGCUUAACCACAGGCUCUUCUCAUCUCUCAUUUGGUACCAAAAUGUCCUUUAUAUUACAGGCAAUUUAUGAUGACAGAUUCUAGUGCCAUUUUUCUUGCACUGAUACUUUUGUAAAAAGUGCUGAUCAGUAACUGUAAUUGAUACUUCGGUCUCAUUAUCUUUCUGCUUGUCUGAAUCUAGACACUGGGUUUUUUUGUCUCAUUUGUUUAGAGGGUAUGAUUUUUCUGGCCAAGAGGCCAUCGUUUCAGUCUACGUUUAUAGUACGGUGCGAGUCUGAUCCAUGACCAAGAUUUCUACAAGCCAUGAUUAAAGUUGCAGUAGAUGGGUUUCCCAGACUUAGAUUUUUUUGAAUGUCCUUUUUUUUAUUUUUUGUCCCUACUGUCACUGGCUAUCGAGCAGAUGGAUCAGAUUGUUUUCUGUAACAUUACAUGCUGGUUGACAGUAGAGUAAUGAACUACUGAAAAAUCAAAUGUCAUAGCUAAGUGCUUACAGGAACCAAGAAUUCUGAAGCUGUAAACAAAAAUAUGCAUUACUUGAAAAAGAUACACUUUCUUCAAGAACUAUCUUGGUUGAUGUUUUACAUCUUACUUUUCUUCAGGGGGGAAAAACAAAGAAAGCACAAGAAAUAACACCCAUUCCCUCACUCAGUUCCCUCCAACUUCUCAACUCUUCCAGACUUGAGUCAUCUCUUUUGUAUGUUUUUCACCAUUUUUUGUCUUUUUUUCUCCUCUCUUCCCAUUUUUCUUUGGAGUUCUCAGGAUGAGUUCCAAUUCUAAUAUUGUUUUUCCAGCCACUGAUCAUUAUGGUUCCUUGACAAAAUUCUUUCUUCUUUCCUUCUUUCCUACAACAGCCAGUUAAAAAAAAAAAAAAAAAAACAGAAAA